GGCGGGAUUCCUCAAGCUGUGGUGUGCGUAUGCAGGCUGUGGUGUAAGUCCCCAGGCUAUGAUGUAAACCUACCCUUGGCUCCAGCUCUCCUAGCCUGGGAAUCCCGGGGCACUCUUGGUCCUGAUGCCAGGCCCAGGGGCCAGCGUCCUCCUCCAGACUUGCUUUUCCAAGAGGCCCCACCUCUGCCAGCUGGCUCGUCCGAGACAGGAACAAGGGCGUCCUCCGAGGUGAUCUGCUGCCUCCGCCUUGCUGGCUGCUGUCCUUGAAACGGUAGCUUAUCAAGGUAGGAAGAUGGGAAAUUCCGCUCUCUACUAUCCCAUCACACUUGUGGUUCACGUUUGUGCCAUGAAUCAAUGUCACGUCUGGAAGUCAGAGGUACUUAAACUUAACCCAAAUGCACAUUCUUUCCCUUUUUGAAAACUAAGAAACAUCUUGUGUUUCCCUGGCUAUUGGCUUCUUUCCCAAAUUUCUCAGAAUUCAUGGACAGUGGCUCUGUAAUCUUAUCUCCAAGUUCUGAUGAGAUUCCUCUGAAGCUGAAGCUUGUGUAAUUUCGCCAGAUGCUCCCACACCUCUUCUCUGAUCUUAGGCUUGAUAUUCUUCUUCUGGAAUCUGCCUUUACACUUCUAGUUUGAGAAUUACUACUCUUUUUAUUUUUUUUUAAGAUUUUAUUUAUUUAUUCAUGAGAGACACACAGGCAGAGGGAGAAGCAGGCUCCUCGCAGGGGAGCCCGAUGUGGGACUCGAUCCCAGGACCCCGGGAUCACAACCUGAGCCAAAGGCAGACGCUCAACCACUGAGCCACCCAGAUGCCCCAAGAA
RNAcentral lists this long non-coding RNA (818 nucleotides) under Canis lupus familiaris (dog). RNAcentral's name for it is "lncRNA (ENSCAFG00845002404.1)". The record is from RNAcentral. Lineage: Eukaryota; Metazoa; Chordata; Mammalia; Carnivora; Canidae.